UCCUAUGAUGGCAUGGAAAUCUUUGAGACCUGAUCGUCAUGUUUGAUGUAAAAUAUAAGCGUUUUUUCUGAGGAU
This 75-nucleotide small nucleolar RNA is filed under the name Nelumbo nucifera (sacred lotus). Its description in RNAcentral is "Small nucleolar RNA R66". It matches the Rfam family "Small nucleolar RNA R66". Rfam says of the family: snoR66 is a C/D box small nucleolar RNA, which acts as a methylation guide for 18S ribosomal RNA in plants. snoR66 has been alternatively named snoZ269 in rice. Lineage: Eukaryota; Viridiplantae; Streptophyta; Magnoliopsida; Proteales; Nelumbonaceae. The record is from Rfam by way of RNAcentral.